Molecule: unclassified non-coding RNA, 252 nt
Filed under: Chaetothyriales sp.
Lineage: Eukaryota; Fungi; Ascomycota; Eurotiomycetes; Chaetothyriales
Description: partial contains small subunit ribosomal RNA, internal transcribed spacer 1, and 5.8S ribosomal RNA
Rfam family: Eukaryotic small subunit ribosomal RNA (bases 1-46)
Source: RNAcentral
AAGUCGUAACAAGGUUUCCGUAGGUGAACCUGCGGAAGGAUCAUUAUCGAGUUAGGGUCUAUGGCCCGACCUCCAACCCUGUGUCUAAAUACUAUGUUGCUUUGGCGAGCCCGUCUCAGGACCGCCAGAGGUCGUUUUUGGCCUCUGGCCCGUGCCCGUCAAUAGCCCUCUUUAAAACUCUUGACCAAAAAGUGUUGUCUGAGUCUCAAAACUUAAUAGUUAAAACUUUCAACAACGGAUCUCUUGGUUCUG